This 313-nucleotide ribosomal RNA is filed under the name Streptomyces radiopugnans. RNAcentral's name for it is "bacterial LSU rRNA". It matches the Rfam family "Bacterial large subunit ribosomal RNA", at positions 2613 to 2925 of the family's 2925-position model. Lineage: Bacteria; Bacillati; Actinomycetota; Actinomycetes; Kitasatosporales; Streptomycetaceae. The record is from RNAcentral.
AGAACGUCGUGAGACAGUUCGGUCCCUAUCCGCUGUGCGCGUAGGAGUCUUGAGAAGGGCUGUCCCUAGUACGAGAGGACCGGGACGGACGAACCUCUGGUGUGCCAGUUGUUCUGCCAAGGGCAUGGCUGGUUGGCUACGUUCGGGAGGGAUAACCGCUGAAAGCAUCUAAGCGGGAAGCCUGCUUCGAGAUGAGGACUCCCACCCCUUGAAGGGGGUAAGGCUCCCGGGAGACGACCGGGUUGAUAGGCCAGAGAUGGAAGCCGGGUGACCGGUGGAGUUGACUGGUACUAAUAGGCCGAGGGCUUGUCCG